GAUGAACGCUAGCGGCAGGCUUAACACAUGCAAGUCGAGGGGUAGAUUACUUCGGUAAUUGAGACCGGCGCACGGGUGCGUAACGCGUAUACAAUCUACCUUUUACAGAGGGAUAGCCCAGAGAAAUUUGGAUUAAUACCUCAUAGUAUUUUCGAAUCGCAUGAUUUGAUUAUUAAAGUUCCAACGGUAAAAGAUGAGUAUGCGUCCCAUUAGCUAGAUGGUAAGGUAACGGCUUACCAUGGCUACGAUGGGUAGGGGUCCUGAGAGGGAGAUCCCCCCACACUGGUACUGAGACACGGACCAGACUCCUACGGGAGGCAGCAGUGAGGAAUAUUGGACAAUGGGCGCAAGCCUGAUCCAGCCAUGCCGCGUGCAGGAAGAAGGUCCUAUGGAUUGUAAACUGCUUUUAUACAGGGAAGAAACACCCUCUACGUGUAGAGACUUGACGGUACUGUAUGAAUAAGGACCGGCUAAUCCGUGCCAGCAGCCGCGGUAAUGUG
This 500-nucleotide ribosomal RNA is filed under the name uncultured bacterium. RNAcentral describes it as "bacterial SSU rRNA". It matches the Rfam family "Bacterial small subunit ribosomal RNA", at positions 28 to 527 of the family's 1533-position model. The record is from RNAcentral.